Molecule: ribosomal RNA, 440 nt
Filed under: uncultured bacterium
Lineage: Bacteria
Description: partial 16S ribosomal RNA
Rfam family: Bacterial small subunit ribosomal RNA
Source: RNAcentral
CCUACGGGAGGCAGCAGUGGGGAAUAUUGCACAAUGGGGGAAACCCUGAUGCAGCGACGCCGCGUGAGUGAAGAAGUAAUUCGUUAUGUAACGCUCUAUCAGCAGGGACGAAAAUGACGGUACCUGAGUAAGAAGCCCCGGCUAACUACGUGCCAGCAGCCGCGGGCAUUCGUAGGGGGCAAGCGUUAUCCGGAUUUACUGGGUGGAAAGGGAACGUAGACGGCAGUGCAAGUCUGGAGUGAAAGGUGGGGGCUCAACCACCGGACUGCUCUGGAAACUGUACGGCUGGAGUGCAGGAGAGGUAAGUGGAAUUCCUAGUGUAGCGGUGAAAUGCGUAGAUAUUAGGAGGAACACCAGUGGCGAAGGCGGCUUACUGGACUGUAACUGACGUUGAGGCUCGAAAGCGUGGGGAGCAAACAGGAUUAGAUACCCGAGUAGUC